GGGACGAGGCCCAAGCCCGCGGCGAGCCGCGCCGAGGCCGAGCCCGAGACCACGCCGCCGCCCCGUCCCACUAGCUCUCUCUCUCCCCUCUCCCAACCACAGCGAUUCCCCCAUCACCUCCCUGCCUCCGCCCCCAUCGAUUCCAGCCAUUUUUGGUUCUUCGCCGCCGGCACGCGCCGCCGAGGUUCCCCCCAAGGUAAAGCGACCGCC
This 210-nucleotide long non-coding RNA is filed under the name Oryza brachyantha (malo sina). Its description in RNAcentral is "long non-coding RNA (OBRA_LNC000610)". Lineage: Eukaryota; Viridiplantae; Streptophyta; Magnoliopsida; Poales; Poaceae. The record is from RNAcentral.